Molecule: long non-coding RNA, 846 nt
Organism: Gasterosteus aculeatus aculeatus (three-spined stickleback)
Lineage: Eukaryota; Metazoa; Chordata; Actinopteri; Perciformes; Gasterosteidae
Source: Ensembl
UGUUUGCUCCCAGUCUGUUCCAGACGGACGGGAAGGGGGAGCAUGAGGUGAAGAUUAUCGAGGACCUCAUCGACAACUAUCUGUACCUCUUUGAUAUCGAUGAGGAGCAUCAGACUCAGAUCGAGCUGGAGAUCAGCCUCAUCACCACCUGGAAGGACACUCAGCUUUCUCAGGCAGGUGACCUGAUCAUUGAGGUCUAUCUGGAGAAGAAGACUCCAGACUGCUGCAUCACUCUCAAAGUGUCUCCCACCAUGAGUGCCGAGGAGCUGACCAAUCAGGUUCUGUUCAUGAGGAACGUCCCGGCCGGGGACAAAGACUUGUGGAUGACGUUUGAAGCAAUGGAAGACGGACAGCUGGAGCGUCCGUUACACCCCAAAGAGAGAGUCCUGGAGCAGGCUCUGCAGUGGUGCAAAAUGGCCGACCCAAGCUCCGCCUACCUGGUGGUGAAGAGAGUUCCUAAAGGAGAAGGAAUCACCCUGCUCACCUGUAGGUCCUGAUGACCUCAUACAAUGCUACACACUGUACUACACACUAUACUACUGACUGCACUACACAUCAUACUAGUCACUGUACUACACAGCAUACUAGUCACUGUACUACACACUGUACUCCACACUGUACUACACACCAUACUAGUCACUAUACGACACACUAUACUACUCACUGUACUACACACUAUACUACACACUCUACUACUCACUAUACUACUUACUGUACUACACACUACUACACACUAUAUUACUCACUGUACUACACACUAUACUACUCACUGUACUACACACUAUACUACUCACUCUACACACUAUACUACUCACUGUACUACACACUAUACUACACACUCUACUA